UUUAUUCUUUGGAGGGAUCCUAUGGUUGGUUUUAUCUCCCGGGUAUUUAUGUCCCUUCACGACUUUCUUUUGCUAUGCUACAGCCUUAGCAUUAGGUUGUUAUGACAACCUGACACACUUCCUGCAACGACUUUUUUUUUUUGUUUUCUGUUUUUCCUUUCCUUCAAUGCAUUGGAAUCUGCAUUCGGGUUCCUUCAUGCUUGGACACGCCCUUAGUACACGCCCUUUGGGGGUUGGCUUAAGGGUAUAUAAUGGUUACACCAGGUAAGCUCACUUGCCAUUCACUCCUGGACACUGCAGCGGAUGGGUCUGCUAUCAGACCAUCCAGCUACUUCUGGCCAUUUCUGCCUGAUCUUCCAAUUCAUGGUCAUUUGGCAUACACUCUGCAAUUCUGCAUAAAAAUAUCUUCCUGGGAUAAACUUCUUGGAAAUGUAUUUUUCUUAUGGCAUGUGUUUAGAAUGAACUUUUGUUUAUUCACUCUGAGCUUUCUUUGCUGCGGACGUCCACCCAUGUGUGGAGGGAGACCAAGCCGGGUCCUUUUGGAGGAGGGGGAUGGAUCUCUUUUCUUUUAGAUGACAGACGCAUG
Rana temporaria (common frog) is the source of this 586-nucleotide long non-coding RNA. RefSeq lists it as uncharacterized. The transcript is spliced from 2 exons. NCBI's taxonomy places the organism in Eukaryota, Metazoa, Chordata, Amphibia, Anura, Ranidae. The record is from RefSeq and is a predicted model, not a curated record.